GGCCUUAGUGGCGCACGGGUGCGUAACGCGUGGGAAUCUGCCCCUUGGUUCGGAAUAACAGUUGGAAACGACUGCUAAUACCGGAUGACGACGUAAGUCCAAAGAUUUAUCGCCGAGGGAUGAGCCCGCGUAGGAUUAGGUAGUUGGUGUGGUAAAGGCGCACCAAGCCGACGAUCCUUAGCUGGUCUGAGAGGAUGAUCAGCCACACUGGGACUGAGACACGGCCCAGACUCCUACGGGAGGCAGCAGUGGGGAAUAUUGGACAAUGGGCGAAAGCCUGAUCCAGCAAUGCCGCGUGAGUGAUGAAGGCCUUAGGGUUGUAAAGCUCUUUUACCCGGGAUGAUAAUGACAGUACCGGGAGAAUAAGCUCCGGCUAACUCCGUGCCAGCAGCCGCGGUAAUACGGAGGGAGCUAGCGUUAUUCGGAAUUACUGGGCGUAAAGCGCACGUAGGCGGCUUUGUAAGUAAGAGGUGAAAGCCCAGAGCUCAACUCUGGAAUUGCCUUUUAGACUGCAUCGCUUGAAUCAUGGAGAGGUCAGUGGAAUUCCGAGUGUAGAGGUGAAAUUCGUAGAUAUUCGGAAGA
Molecule: ribosomal RNA, 582 nt
Filed under: uncultured Sphingomonas sp.
Lineage: Bacteria; Pseudomonadati; Pseudomonadota; Alphaproteobacteria; Sphingomonadales; Sphingomonadaceae
Description: bacterial SSU rRNA
Rfam family: Bacterial small subunit ribosomal RNA
Source: RNAcentral